Lycium ferocissimum is the source of this 2131-nucleotide long non-coding RNA. RefSeq lists it as uncharacterized. The record is from RefSeq and is a predicted model, not a curated record. The transcript is spliced from 3 exons. NCBI's taxonomy places the organism in Eukaryota, Viridiplantae, Streptophyta, Magnoliopsida, Solanales, Solanaceae.
UUUAUAGUUCAAAGACCUCCAUAUACGCUUCUUGCAAACUUCAUUUCUAGUUUCCCUUGAGCUGAUUUUUAGUGUUUAACCUUACAUCCGUGGAGCUAUUUCCUAAGAAACACAUCUUAGGUUCCGGAAAAUUUGUUUGUUAGGCUUGAUAAUCAUGCAACAAGAGACUUUCCCAUAUUUUACUAUUCAUAAUGGGGGAUAUCUACAAUUAUUAAGAAAUACACGUUGACUAUAUUCUUCUGUGGUUUAUUUUGCAAACUUAUGAAGUGUUCUAAACUUUCCAUUUGGGUUUUUCACUUGAACCUUUGUUCUCCUACUUGGUCCUCUUUAGGUAACUUCUUUUAUAUUGUCCUUGAAAUAGGAAAAAUUACAUGUUUUAGAUGUUAUUUUAGCUGACCACAUAGGAACAAGCAAUUCACCUGGUGCUCAACAAUGACUCGAAUGCAUUGCAAAAUUUUUUUUUUUUUUUGGCAUCAGUGCAAAAGGUUGCUGUAACGUUUAUAUCCUUUUGUAGUUUAAAUUUUACUGGAAGUGCAAAUGAGAUUAUCCUACAGCAAAAAACUCAAUGCAUAUGGAACAUCAAAAAACUCAACGCAUACAGGAGGCUAAAUGAUAAGCUACACGGGUCUAUCCUCCGUCUUUGCAUGGCCUUGUUUGCCUUAUUAUUGUCCAUGUAAGUUUCUGCAUUUUUAUUUGACCAAAAAGUCUGAUAUCUACUCUCAUCAGGACGUGGUAUUUAACUUAUUUUAAUGCCGAGAUAACACUUCUGUAGCAUACUGUAGCUUACAAAUGACUUUCGGCAUUUGGACCAGAUAAAUUAUAUACUUCUUCAAUCUAUCAAGUGAUUUCCUAUAAUAUGACCCUCCCUAUUUGCUAAGGAUCUUUUCAUUUUACCUCUUUAUAAGUUCUCUUAUUGCAUCAGUCAACUAUCUAUGAAAUUGUGUAACUGUUAAACUAUCAGUUUUGAAAGGGAAUGUGUUGGUUUGUAAGCAGAUUUAGGAUGUAAGCUGUUCGGAAGAUCCUACAUUAGUUUCAGUCAGUUUGGUGCUUCACUCAAUUCUUCAUUUUUCUUUUGCCAGAACUUCAGCGUAUUAUAUUAUAUUGAUGAUAGGAGCGUUAAUUGCAUUCUGUCAACAUUUAAACUCCACCUAUUUUCCCCCUUUCAUUUGUUGUAUUAAUGUCUGACCCUCCCAUCUCCCAACCUGUACAAAAGAAGAAGAAUCUCAGUAUUUGUAAUAUCUAUUCAGGUGCCACUGAAUUCUGUCAUGAGUUGCAGCUCAAAUAAAUUCUCACUGAUUGUUUCCACGGAUGCAGCUAGCUAGGAGGUUUCUCUGGUACAAACGUAAAUUGUAUAUGCACUAUUAAAUGCGCGUAGCUUUCAUGGCAGCCAAGUCUUAAAUGGUGGAAGAGAACAAUUCUGAAGUAUGCCAAGUCUUAUUUUUCAGCUCCUUUUCUCAUUAGAAUGUUGUACUGUUAGCAGGGAUGCUAUGGUAGCAAUCUCCCUUUGAGAAGGACCUAGGACUUGAAUGGAUUGACUAGUUUGAGGGGCAUCAGUUCAUUUGGUUGAAGGAUUCUCUAUUCUGCUUCUUGAACCAAAGAUUUCCAUUGGCGCCUUUGGAGACUCUGGUUACACGAAGCUUGAAAUUUCAAGAAGGACUUGAAAGCCAUUCAUCGGGAGUACAUGAUAGACUACCAUCGACUAGUGUAAUUGUGCAUUAGUCCUUAAAUUAAGCUUGAUCGUUCCAACUUGGUGCGUGUGACAUGCUACACAUUCUUUUUCCACUCUAUUCAUCGGAUAUGCUUGUGAUUAGUAACCACCCAAACUGAACUUGUUAACCGGAAGUGAUAGGCAAAAUACCUAUCAAGAAAUAUGUAAAUAACAAUAUUUGCAAUAAAUUAACGAGAUCAGGUUAUUUAAGUAGCGUUUUCGAUCAAAAUCAAAUGGAGGAAACAACAACUUAGAUACACCAGCACAAUGACGAGGAAUACCACAAAUGAAAAAGAUUUUUCCCAUUUGUAAGAGUUACUUUAUCAUUUCGGAAAUUAAGAGUUUUUCUGUCUCGUUACUAUCACAAGAGGUGCAACCAAGAUUUGAGAGUAGUGGGGGCACUACUUUUAUGUGGCUACAAAA